Molecule: ribosomal RNA, 451 nt
Filed under: uncultured soil bacterium
Lineage: Bacteria
Description: bacterial SSU rRNA
Rfam family: Bacterial small subunit ribosomal RNA
Source: RNAcentral
AGAACGAACGCUGGCGGCAUGCCUAACACAUGCAAGUCGAACGGACGUCUUCGGACGUUAGUGGCGCACGGGUGCGUAACGCGUGGGAAUCUGCCCUUAGGUUCGGAAUAACAGUUAGAAAUGACUGCUAAUACCGGAUAAUGACUUCGGUCCAAAGAUUUAUCGCCUAGGGAUGAGCCCGCGUAGGAUUAGCUUGUUGGUGAGGUAAAAGCUCACCAAGGCGACGAUCCUUAGCUGGUCUGAGAGGAUGAUCAGCCACACUGGGACUGAGACACGGCCCAGACUCCUACGGGAGGCAGCAGUGGGGAAUAUUGGACAAUGGGCGAAAGCCUGAUCCAGCAAUGCCGCGUGAGUGAUGAAGGCCUUAGGUUGUAAAGCUCUUUUGCCAGGGAUGAUAAUGAACAGUACCUGGAGAAUAAGCUCCGGCUAACCUCCGUGCCGAGCCAGCCGC